This 468-nucleotide ribosomal RNA is filed under the name uncultured bacterium. RNAcentral's name for it is "partial 16S ribosomal RNA". It matches the Rfam family "Bacterial small subunit ribosomal RNA", at positions 28 to 507 of the family's 1533-position model. The record is from RNAcentral.
GACGAACGCUGGCGGCGUGCUUAACACAUGCAAGUCGAACGGAAAGGCCCUGCUUUUGUGGGGUGCCCGAGUGGCGAACGGGUGAGUAACACGUGAGUAACCUGCCCUUGACUUUGGGAUAACUUCAGGAAACUGGGGCUAAUACCGGAUAGGGGCUCCUGCUGCAUGGUGGGGGUUGGAAAGUUUCGGCGGUUGGGGAUGGACUCGCGGCUUAUCAGCUUGUUGGUGGGGUAGUGGCUUACCAAGGCUUUGACGGGUAGCCGGCCUGAGAGGGUGACCGGCCACAUUGGGACUGAGAUACGGCCCAGACUCCUACGGGAGGCAGCAGUGGGGAAUAUUGCACAAUGGGCGGAAGCCUGAUGCAGCAACGCCGCGUGCGGGAUGACGGCCUUCGGGUUGUAAACCGCUUUCGCCUGUGACGAAGCGUGAGUGACGGUAAUGGGUAAAGAAGCACCGGCUAACUACGUG